GAACGCAAAUUUUUAAUUUGAGUGGCGGACGGGUGAGUAACACGUGAGAAUUCACCUUUAGGUGGGGAAUAACUUUUGGAAACGAUAGCUAAUGCCCCAUAUACUCGUAAGAGACAAAAGAGCAAUCUGCCUAAAGAGAAGCUCGCGGCUGAUUAGCUAGUUGGUAAGGUAAUGGCUUACCAAGGCGACGAUCAGUAGCUGGUUUGAGAGAACGAUCAGCCACACUGGAACUGAGACACGGUCCAAACUCCUACGGGAGGCAGCAGUGGGGAAUUUUCCGCAAUGGGCGAAAGCCUGACGGAGCAAUACCGCGUGAGGGAUGACGGCCUUUGGGUUGUAAACCUCUUUUAUCAAGGAGGAAGUUCUGACGUGUACUUGAUGAAUAAGCAUCGGCUAACUCCGUGCCAGCAGCCGCGGUAAGACGGAGGAUGCAAGUGUUAUCCGGAAUCACUGGGCGUAAAGCGUCUGUAGGUUGUUUAAAAAGUCUACUGUUAAAAAUUGAAGCUUAACUUCAAAGAUGCCGUAGAAACUUUUAAACUAGAGUAUGAUAGGGGUAGAGGGAAUUUCCAGUGGAGCGGUGAAAUGUGUAGAUAUUGGAAAGACCACCGAUGGCGAAGGCACUCUACUGGGCCAUUACUGACACUGAGAGACG
RNAcentral lists this ribosomal RNA (652 nucleotides) under uncultured bacterium. RNAcentral describes it as "bacterial SSU rRNA". It matches the Rfam family "Bacterial small subunit ribosomal RNA", at positions 64 to 755 of the family's 1533-position model. The record is from RNAcentral.